RNAcentral lists this ribosomal RNA (816 nucleotides) under Leptospora sp. 795_3_CP01. RNAcentral's name for it is "eukaryotic LSU rRNA". It matches the Rfam family "Eukaryotic large subunit ribosomal RNA", at positions 90 to 925 of the family's 3401-position model. RNAcentral also lists the same sequence under 1 other name. The record is from RNAcentral. Lineage: Eukaryota; Fungi; Ascomycota; Dothideomycetes.
CGAGUGAAGCGGCAACAGCUCAAAUUUGAAAUCUGGCUCUUUCAGAGUCCGAGUUGUAAUUUGCAGAGGGCGCUUUGGUGUUGGCAGCGGUCCAAGUUCCUUGGAACAGGACGUCACAGAGGGUGAGAAUCCCGUACGUGGUCGCUAGCCUUCGCCGUGUAAAGCCCCUUCGACGAGUCGAGUUGUUUGGGAAUGCAGCUCUAAAUGGGAGGUAAAUUUCUUCUAAAGCUAAAUACUGGCCAGAGACCGAUAGCGCACAAGUAGAGUGAUCGAAAGAUGAAAAGCACUUUGGAAAGAGAGUCAAAUAGCACGUGAAAUUGUUGAAAGGGAAGCGCUUGCAGCCAGACUUGCCUGUAGUUGCUUAUCCGGACUUUUGUCCGGUGCACUCUUCUGCGGGCAGGCCAGCAUCAGUUUGGGCGGUUGGAUAAAGGUCUCUGUCAUGUACCUCUCUUCGGGGAGAACUUAUAGGGGAGACGACAUGCAACCAGCCUGGACUGAGGUCCGCGCAUCUGCUAGGAUGCUGGCGUAAUGGCUGUAAGCGGCCCGUCUUGAAACACGGACCAAGGAGUCUAACAUCUAUGCGAGUGUUUGGGUGUCAAGCCCAGACGCGUAAUGAAAGUGAACGGAGGUGGGAACCCUUUGGGUGCACCAUCGACCGAUCCUGAUGUCUUCGGAUGGAUUUGAGUAAGAGCAUGGCUGUUGGGACCCGAAAGAUGGUGAACUAUGCUUGAAUAGGGUGAAGCCAGAGGAAACUCUGGUGGAGGCUCGCAGCGGUUCUGACGUGCAAAUCGAUCGUCAAAUUUGGGCAUAGGGGCG